This 94-nucleotide transfer RNA is filed under the name Clostridiales bacterium. Its description in RNAcentral is "tRNA-Ser". It matches the Rfam family "tRNA". Rfam says of the family: Transfer RNA (tRNA) molecules are approximately 80 nucleotides in length. Their secondary structure includes four short double-helical elements and three loops (D, anti-codon, and T loops). The record is from RNAcentral. RNAcentral also lists the same sequence under 1 other name. Lineage: Bacteria; Bacillati; Bacillota; Clostridia; Eubacteriales.
GGAGAAGUACCCAAGUACGGCUGAAGGGGCUCCCCUGCUAAGGGAGUAGUACGAGUGAAUCGUAGCGCGGGUUCAAAUCCCGCCUUCUCCGCCA